ACGGGUGAGUAAUGUCUGGGAAACUGCCUGAUGGAGGGGGAUAACUACUGGAAACGGUAGCUAAUACCGCAUAAUGUCGCAAGACCAAAGAGGGGGACCUUCGGGCCUCUUGCCAUCGGAUGUGCCCAGAUGGGAUUAGCUUGUUGGUGGGGUAAUGGCUCACCAAGGCGACGAUCCCUAGCUGGUCUGAGAGGAUGACCAGCCACACUGGAACUGAGACACGGUCCAGACUCCUACGGGAGGCAGCAUG
This 250-nucleotide ribosomal RNA is filed under the name uncultured bacterium. Its description in RNAcentral is "partial 16S ribosomal RNA". It matches the Rfam family "Bacterial small subunit ribosomal RNA", at positions 102 to 353 of the family's 1533-position model. The record is from RNAcentral.